This 217-nucleotide unclassified non-coding RNA is filed under the name soil metagenome. RNAcentral's name for it is "partial contains 5.8S ribosomal RNA, internal transcribed spacer 2, and large subunit ribosomal RNA". The record is from RNAcentral.
AACCUAGCACACCUGCGGUGUGUACCUGCGGAGGGAUCAUUACAAGUGACCCCGGUCUAACCACCGGGAUGUUCAUAACCCUUUGUUGUCCGACUCUGUUGCCUCCGGGGCGACCCUGCCUUCGGGCGGGGGCUCCGGGUGGACACUUCAAACUCUUGCGUAACUUUGCAGUCUGAGUAAACUUAAUUAAUAAAUUAAAACUUUUAGCAAUGGAUCU